This 379-nucleotide ribosomal RNA is filed under the name uncultured eukaryote. RNAcentral's name for it is "partial 18S ribosomal RNA". It matches the Rfam family "Eukaryotic small subunit ribosomal RNA", at positions 592 to 976 of the family's 1831-position model. The record is from RNAcentral.
CAAUAGCGUAUAUUAAAGUUGUUGCGGUUAAAAAGCUCGUAGUUGGAUUUCUGCUGAGAACGACCGGUCCGCCCUUUGGGUGUGUAUCUGGCUCUUUCUUGGCAUCUUCUUGGUGAACGUUGCUGCACUUGACUGUGUGGAGCGCUACCCAGGACUUUUACUUUGAGGAAAUUAGAGUGUUUCAAGCAGGCAUACGCCUUGAAUACAUUAGCAUGGAAUAAAAAGAUAGGACCUCGGUUCUAUUUUGUUGGUUUCUAGAGCUGAGGUAAUGAUUAAUAGGGAUAGUUGGGGGCAUUCGUAUUUAACUGUCAGAGGCGAAAUUCUUGGAUUUGUUAAAGACGGACUACUGCGAAAGCAUUUGCCAAGGAUGUUUCAUUGA